This is a non-coding RNA of Misgurnus anguillicaudatus (oriental weatherfish), 1059 nucleotides long. Lineage: Eukaryota; Metazoa; Chordata; Actinopteri; Cypriniformes; Cobitidae. The record is from RefSeq and is a predicted model, not a curated record.
UGUAUAUGUUUUAUGUAUUUUAUAAAAGUUUUUCCUGUGAUUCAGACUUCAUGUACUGGAAAGCAAAGAUCAUUAUUGAGGAGUACAUGGAAUCUGCUGCAAAUACCAUCUGGCCAUGGACAAAUGACAACAGUCGUUCACCACUAAUCAUGAAUGGUGUACACAAUGGGGGUCUCUCCACCAUGCAGACCCAAACAAUCAGCAUAUCUGCGUUUAUGAAUAGGUUGACAUGAUAAAAGCUAUAUCUACAGUAGCAUGUUCCGUCAAUCACUUCAUUAUUAUAUUUGGCAACAGACAAGUUAAAAGUUUAUUAUCUGUUUUAUGUUACAUCUUUGGAGUUUUUGUUUCCUUACUGGUCAUCAUCUCUGGUUUUCUUUGUGAGGGUAAAUAGAAAUCAUGUUUUUUUUAGACUAAUCACCUUUUCACUAUUUACACUUUUGUAUCCCUUUCCACAAUCAUUGGUUUCCUCACUGGGUAUAAUGAGAACGUCAAACAUAUUUAAAUGUUAACAUGUAUAAUGGAUGUUUUAACAAUAUACUUUUUUGGACAUUGAACAUACACUAAAUUAUAUUAAAUGAACAGGUGUUGCAUACCUUGCUGGAAUUUUCCCUGGUGAUAGCUGUAUAAAAGAAUAUACUCGGUACUUAACAAUUUAAUGAAUGAUUAUGGUAAAAUAAGUCUAAAUAUAUGUCACUUGCUUACCCCCAGCAAUCUCUGUGCAAAAUGCACACAGUUAUUUGUAAAAGGAUGAGAAAUACCAAUACAUUGUAUGGCAUUCUUAACAUAGUUUUGUCUCUGGACGGUUAAUGGGAAGUGGCUUUUGUGCUAUAAAGUUCUUCACACUUCUAAAGCUCAGUAAAUCAUUCCCACCUGAUGAUGAUGAAGUGGAUUCGAAGGGGCUGUAAAGCAGAAGUCUGUAUAUUGUGAUGCAUGUAAAUUAUAUAAAUGUAUUUGAUUACUAUUUCUAAACUAAAAUGCAGUUCAAUUCUUGUUGUUCACUGAAAAUUCAAUGACCAUUGUAUAACCCUGAUAAAAUAAACAAAUCGAGUUGGCAGUUUU